Molecule: ribosomal RNA, 253 nt
Filed under: uncultured bacterium
Lineage: Bacteria
Description: partial 16S ribosomal RNA
Rfam family: Bacterial small subunit ribosomal RNA
Source: RNAcentral
UACAGAGGGUGCGAGCGUUAAUCGGAAUUACUGGGCGUAAAGCGCGCGUAGGCGGCUUUGCAAGUCGGGUGUGAAAUCCCCAGGCUUAACCUGGGAACUGCAUUCGAGACUGCAUUGCUAGAGUAUGGGAGAGGGAAGUGGAAUUUCCGGUGUAGCGGUGAAAUGCGUAGAUAUCGGAAGGAACAUCAGUGGCGAAAGCGACUUCCUGGACCAAUACUGACGCUCAUGUGCGAAAGCUAGGGGAGCGAACGGG